This 201-nucleotide long non-coding RNA is filed under the name Elaeis guineensis (African oil palm). Its description in RNAcentral is "long non-coding RNA (EGUI_LNC045166)". Lineage: Eukaryota; Viridiplantae; Streptophyta; Magnoliopsida; Arecales; Arecaceae. The record is from RNAcentral.
GCGGUCCGACCAAAAGGAAUGGUACAAAAAAAAUCUAUCUAAACAAGGUAUUGAUGUCCGAUCAAAUGAAGAUAGUACAAAGAAUUUCGUCCAAACGAGAUCAUGAUGUCCGCCCAAAUGAGGACAAAAUGAUGACAACCUAUCGAAACAAGGUCAUGAAGUCCGGCCAACGAGGAUAAAAAAGUUUGUCCAAACGAGGUC